Homo sapiens (human) is the source of this 49-nucleotide regulatory RNA element. Lineage: Eukaryota; Metazoa; Chordata; Mammalia; Primates; Hominidae. The record is from Rfam.
GGGAAAUGGGAAGAGGGGCCAGCCUCAGGCCCCACUCCAAACUGGGGCA